UUUCUGGAGAUUUAUCACGAUUUAAUUACGAUAGUGAUCAGUGUGAGGGGCAGCUCUUGAAGCUUGAGAAUUCCAGGGCAACGUCCUUGUCUGGAGAUGUUGGGACUCUUACAUCCAUUAGUCUUCACCUUCAGAGACUAAUAGAUUAUAUGAGUGUGUCGUGGUUUAUCUUGGCAUAAUAUCACCUAGUGGGCAGCUAGUGAAUGUUCUCUUUAUGUAUUUGGUGGAGGAAAGAACAUAUGGAUGCAUCUGUCUAUUGGUUGUCUGAUGAAUCUGUUUACCGAGAGAAUUCUUCUUCAAUUCAAGCCGAAAGUAACCCUAGGAAGAUCAGUGGCUCUGUGAUUUAUUUAUUAGCCAAAUUGUAAAACUCUCCACCUCAAUAUGCAGUGGUGUUUAACACGGAGGAUGACAUCGGCACCUAUACCAUCAAAGCUAUAGAUGAUCCAAGGACCUUGAACAAAAUUAUGUACAUCAGGCCUCCUGCCAACACCAUCUCAAUGAAUGAGCUCGUGUCUUUGUGGGAGAGAAAGAUUGGCAAGACUCUGGAGAGGGUGUAUGUUCCAGAGGAGGAGGUUCUGAAGAAUAUUCAAGGUUAGGGCUGCAUUUCUAUUGGAUUUAAGCGCGUAAAUUGUCUUUGUUCUCUCUAAGAUUUAAAGCUUGUCCGGUCAUUGUAGAGGCAGCGUUUCCGCAGAAUGUGAUAUUGGCAGUACUCCAUUCUGUUUUCGUGAAAGGAGACCAAGCCAACUUCGAGAUUAAGCCGUCAUUCGGAGUGGAAGCUUCGAAGCUCUACCCCGAUGUCAAGUACACGACUGUGGAUCAGUAUAUGGAUCAGUUUAUUUGAUUAUCGAACCCGAUUGUGUUUGUUAAAUUUCUCACAUAAGCUUGAAUCAUAAAUAAUAUAGGAUGCUGCUUCUCAGGAUCCUAGUGUGAAAUGUUGCAUGCCCUGAUCAUCACAUGGCAUGUACAACCCCAAAGUCUGAGGACAUCCUAUGAAGUGCUUAGAGAAAUUACUUAUGUUUUGGAGAUUGAUAUUGGGUUCAUGGGCCAAGCCAAGCUAGCACAAAGAUGUGGGUUUUUCUACUUUUGGCUAUUGUAUUGUCUUUCACGUCUAAAUAAUUCACGGACGACCACUAUCGUGAAAGUCAGAUACUUAACGUAUUACCAAGGAUGAAAUUUCCGUCAUGUGCUAAUUAUGUAUAAUCUUAAAGAAUGACAAGUUAAAACAAACGUAAACCCAUUAGCGAAUUCCUGACAAUAUCGAGUUAUCGUUAAUGUUUCAAGGGCUUUUAUUGUAUGAAUUUUCCUAAUGUGGGCUUUUCAUCGACACGUUUAUAGUUUUUUUUUUUUAGCUGAUCACUCACGAGAUAACUAGUCUAUCUGGUGAAGCUAUUGAGGGAUUUUAACGCAAUAGACUUGAGAAUUUGACCAAAUAUCGUCGCUCGACUGUGCUAUCUGCAAGGGUCACUAUGGCAUUGAAAAAAUUGACGAGAGACCAUAGAUAGGUCGGUUCAAUAGAGGUAUGUAAUUAGUGUGUGGUUGAUUUCAUCUUAUUACAAAAUUCUCGUCGAAAGGCACUAAACCGAUUUUUUUCUGUCAUUUCUAUACCCUGUGCGGGUAUUUGAAAUCUCGAGAUUUUCACGACAAUCGAGAGUUGCCAAUGAGUCGAAGAUGCCCAAUGUGGCUUGAAAAUAAGCGACCAUGAGUCAAUUGCACUAAAAAUUCCUAAAAGAUGCUCGGUAAGUUAGGUCACGCUAAAAUCGUGCUCGGUUGAAAUUAACCGUAUAGUUAAACCUGAUUUCAAAAAUUGAGAAUUCUGUCAUGUCAUGAUUCAUUUUGGAAACAUUGACUCAUCCUUUAAAGAUUUUUCUACAAACUCGAGAUUUCGGCAAAAUUUCAAAGUAAGGCUAUUUUGGACUGGGAAAAUUAGAGGGCCAUUUUUAGUCACAUUUUUGUCCAUCAAGUUGGUUCAAUUGAUGAGAAAAAAUCAUGAGAUGGACGAUGGCAUCUCGGCUGAAUUUAUGGCAACGGAAUUGAGCCCAAUUGAUGAGAACUUGAAUCAAUUUGGAGGGAAAUUGUCCAAAAUUCGUAGGUCCUUGGAGUGUGCAACAUUUGGACCCUUGGAUGGCUUGUUAGGGAAGCCUUAGGUGUGCAAUUGGUUGAGGAUUGAAGGCUAAAGUGGUGGGGGUCUUUGUGAUGAGCAAAUGGGGAUAUUUGUGUUGACUAGAAGGCUUGGUAGCCCCCCUCUUGCUGUAGCUGUCUUCUUCUUCUUCAUUGGAGUGCUUUAUCCAUUGUUGAGUGAGUUUUGAGAGCUCAAAAUUCCAGAGAGAACCGGAGAAGACUCCCGUACUAUCGAUCGUCUCCCCUGCCGUCGUCGUGCAUCGUUGCGCCGCCCGUGCCCCGCACGUCUGCGUGCCCGUCUGCCUGCGUCCUAGCCUUCUAGCUGCAUCCCGAGCUGCCUUGGUCACCGUCAUAGCCUCAUUGGAGCUCCACCGUCGCCGUCCAGCCACCAUCAAGCACCAUUGUCGCCUGCUGCAGCCUCCGCCUCCGCCUCUCAUCCCGUAUUUGUUGACACCUAAAUUUUGGCGACCCGUUUAGUUAUUUAUCAAAAAAUUAGGGAUUAAUUUUAACCCCUAAAAAAAUAUUAGUUAAUUAAUUAAUUGCACAGCAUAUAGUUUUAGGUGCAUUCAUUUUAAUUUGCAUUUACAUUGGGCCGGUGAUAAAUGGGUUCAAAUUGAUGGUUCAGAACUUUAAUUUGGUGAAUUGGAUUAAGCCCACGAAGGGAGUAAAUCGGCCCAAGCCUGUAUCCUCGGAAAUAUUUUACGGAUUUAUUUGUGCGAGAUUUCAAAUUUUAGAAGAAUCCUCUUGCAAUCCUAAAUCAUAUCAAAAGCAAAUAUUGCAUUUGGAAAAAGGAAUUUUUGUGGAUACGGAUUUGGAAAAAAUAAAACCUUAACUUGUGAACUAUAAAUAGAUAAAAUGCGUAGGGUUUGAGGAGGAGGCCACAUGUUGAAUACUCGGCCACAUUGACGGGGGCUUUUCUAGGGUUUCUUUUGGUCAACUGAAAAGAAAAGAAAAAAAGUGAAGGAAAGUGAAAAGUAAAAGCAGAAGCAGCAGAGGGGAGGAAGUGAUUGGACAUUGACUGUUCAUCGUCUUCCCCACAUUCGCUGCCCCGGUUGCCAGCUUCUCUUCACCCGUGCCCGCGCUGCGCUGACGCCAUCAAAUCGUAAGCCGCUCGAACUCCCUCGUCACCCAAUCCGUCGCGCCUCCGCAGCUAUGAGCACCACCGCAAUCGGCAUCUAGCGACCGCAUCUCAGACCGCCCCCGGCGCCACCUCACCGCGACACCACACCAGAUGGGCCCGCUUCUGAUCAAUGCCUGCACCUGAAGUUUCUCGGCCCGCGACGCCCUUCGCCGGUGGUCCGAGCUGCUGCCGCACGCAUCUGCUCUGCCCCCAAUCCGACCGUGAAUCUACCCAGCCCGGAGUCCAAUCUCGCGUUCGCAAGACUACCAUGAUGUGUCUCCGUGAUCCAGCCCUGAAGCCUGAUGCCAGAGCCAUUCCUACUUUGCUGUCGAACCUUCCGCCCAGACGCAGCAACACCGCCCUGCCUUCGCCUGUGGUCCGUUUUAGCCAGCCCUCCACCCGAGGGACCAUCCGAGCCGGACCUGAGGUCCUCUGCUCGCAACGCCCAGACCCGGAAUCCCCUGCCCGCGACGCCCUGUGCCGAAGUCCGAACGUUGGCAAUUCUGACCGCGACACCCAUGUUCCGCCUACUGUCCCUGCUAUCCGGGUGCUUCCCUAUUCCUGCCGGUUCACCCUUUUCAGAGCUUCCUUGUUGGACUGACAACCUAUUGCCUUGGAGACCUGCGAGCAAGCCGUGCUUGAAAAAGGGAAAAAAAAUCAGAUUAGGUAGUUUUUAUUUUAUUUUUUAAUAUUAUGUUUUAAUGGAAUUGUUCUUAAAUAUAGGAUUGAUAUUAUGACAUGAAUUAGCCCCUCAAAUAAGGGAUUGAUAGUCUGAUUUUCACGCCCGAGAUCCGACUCACAAUCCCUUGCAAAAUCGUCAAUCCGAUCUCACGCCCGAGAUUCGAUUCGCGAUUUAAUUUAAAAUUGGCCAACCCGAUCUUAUGCGCGAGAUAUGGUUCGUCAAUUUUUGGAUAUCAAUCUUUUCUUGUUUGAUUUGCCGUCAUGGUGUUUGGAUUAAUUUUAUUUUCGUAAAAGGAAAAAAUCCAAAAAAAAUCGAAUUAGGAUUAAGUUUAUUUUAGAAUGUUCCUAGUCUUAGGGUUAUCUUGCAUGUUUAGAAUUGCAAUCUCAUUUCGAAUUUUUAAAUAAAAAUCCAAAAAAUGCGUUCAUUUAGGAUGUUAGUUUUCUUUAAUUUAAAUGGCACGUUUGAUUAUUUGGCAAUUUUAAAUUUCGAAUUUUAUAAAAAGAAACAAAAAAAAAUCAUCAUGCAUAUAUCAUGUUGAAUUAGGGCAUUCUUUGCACGUCAUUGCAUGUUUAUCAAUUAUAGGUAGAUAAUCUCUCCUAGAUAAAUUGCAUGUUUUUGUUAGGAAAAUAAAAAUGCCCAUGUCAUAUAGAAUUAGAUUCAUGAAAUGCAUGUCAUUUAGUGAUUGUUCCUAGGUUCAUUUAAUUAGAAAUUGUCCAUCAUUAGAUUAGGUCAUAUAAUAAAUGUCAUAGCUCGCAUAUUAAAUUACAUGUUGCGUGUCAUUUUUGUUGAAAUAAUUUUAUACGUCGUUGCAUUGCAUUACACGUCAUUAGAAUUAAGUCAUUUUGGUUAAUUUAGAUUGCAUAUUUAAUUAUUGCAUGUUCAUUAAGAAAUCACAAAAAAAUUUAUUCAUUCAUAUAGUUUAGGACAUGUUGCCAUGCCAUAUCACAUUGCAUUGCAUAUGGAUUAUAAUCUCGUUAAAAAAGUGAAAACGAAAAUUGAGUGAUGACGUGUUAAUUAGAAAUCAUAUCUAGAGUUGUUGAUGUGAAUUCUGAUCCAACACUGUAGAUGUUUUCGUUGCUAUGAGUUAAGUCUUGCAAUUUAUUCAUUGCUUUUCUUGGAUGUUAAAUUGAUGGUUUGUGCACCCGCAUGAUCGCCUCAUAUGUUAGGAAAAUAGAUUUAAAAUCAAUUCAAGCUGCCUGCCAAACAUUUUUCGAAAUAAAAGAGAAAUGUACCGAAAGGGCGUUAGAAAAAUCUAGCAUAACUAAGUCCCCGAACUCAUAGUAAAGUAAAUCUCCCGUUACUUUGCUUGGGUUUCUAAUCGACCCACCAAAAAAUAGAUUAGUGGCGACUCCUAAUUGAAAAUCAAUUGCAUGUUAAGAAUUUGAACCUAAGUCGCGAAUUGGUAUGGGCUUGGGAAAGCCCGAGUUAAGUCUAGGCAUAACAAUCCAUUAGCCAAAUCUUAGGUGGCUCACACCUGAAAAUUUGGUCAUGACAGUGUUGUUUCAACCACUUAGCUUGCUCUCUCGGCCUAGAGCAGAAGCCAAAGCUCAGCCCCUAGCUGAGGCUUUGUGGCCCGUUUUAGGCCCCGUCUGAACCUUCGUUGGUAUUGCCACAUGCUUGUUUAUUACUCACCUCUGCGUCGCCAUCGCCGUGGACUCACCAGCCCGCUAAAUCGGUGAGUUUACUUGCUAAACUUUGCUUGGGGAAUUAAUGACGUUUAGUGGAUAAUUAGUUUAGGCUAAGUGUGGAUUAGGUGGUUAGUUAGUUUGGAUUAGUGAUUUAAUCAUUUAGUUAUGCAUGUUAUGUGGUUAGAAUAAACUAAUUAAGGGCUAGAUAGAUUGUACUAUCUAUCUAGAUAGAUUCGGAAAUUUUCUAGGCCCGUUUAGGUGGUUAGAUUAGCAUUUUUGGCCUAAGUUAGUAUUUAUGUAUUUAAUUUACUUUAUUUAAUUAUUUUUGGAAUUUAUUUAAUUAUUUUAUAUUUUUCGAAAAUUAUACCAUAAUAGUCGAUAAUCGGAAUUUUGUGUUGAUUGCAGUGGUAUGUUUAGUUUAUGCAAUUAAGUGUUAAUUUGUGCAAAUUGGGUGGUGAUUGGAAUUUUGAUUAUUUAAUCCAAAAUUGUGAAAUUUUGAUAUUUAAUUAGAAAACCCCAGGUGUCAGGUUUUAACACUGAAAGUGGUUUUAAAGACUAUAUCAAACAGUUGGAUUUUAAAAGGUAGGAUAUCAAUUUUUCUGGUUCAAAUUGAUCGUGUACCCGCACACAAUUAUUUUACCAUGUGUUUUUCAUACGAAGAAAAUGGGCCAAAUACAUUAUUUUAAUUUGGACAUUUGAAUGUAAAGCAUGAUGUCUUGGCUGAGAUUUGAUGGAUGCAUGAAUGGUUAUGAGAACCCGUCCCUGAAAUGAGUCGGAUGGACAUGCCCUUAUAUGGGAUGCUCUAGCAAUGGAUGGCGGAUCGCGGUAGAGGCCAGAUCAAAGCUCGUGCAUAGACUGCAUUUAGGUGUAUUUCCUUUCUAGUUGGAUUUUAGGGGGUGAACUUGCUAAGACAUUGUCUCGCCCCGUUAUGGGCUCAACCUUUUCAGGUCCUUAGAUGGUAGCUCCUCUAAAGCGUUUUGGCCAACCCAAGAGGGUCACCAAAUAGGUCUCUGAGAUUCUUCUUCCCGGGGGCUAAGGAGCUUGGGUCAAUGAGCUUGUGAGGACCAUUGUCUGGGUUAAUGCGGGUCUACCUCGAAUGGUAUCCCAUCAAUUCAGAACGUGGUAUCGUCACGGGUGAAAUGGACCUAGAGAAGGUCCUCUUUAGGAUUAUGAGAUCCUUGUGUCGAUGUUAGAAAUCGCUUUUGGCAAGGAUACAACCAACCCUCCUGGUGGUGCAGUCGUGGACCCAAAUUCCUAGGAGAGUUCGGGAUUUUCAGCUGCGGGUUCGAAUGCCUAGAGGACCUGUAGAUUUUAUGCUUUUAUAGACUUUUGUUUAUAAACUAGUAUUGUAAAUAAACUAGUCGACUGUGUAUAAAGGUGUGUUAUAGUUGUGAAAUCAUGGUCCUGCUUUUCUAUCCCAUCUUUGUGCUAUUUGGGGAUUUAUUUAUACACUUCCACACGCACAUUAAAAUGAAUGGGUCAGCGACGCGUCUUGGGACGUUGCAAUUUAAUCGACCACCGAGGGAUGGGCACACACUCGAGGAUCUAGGCGUGACAAAACUCACCGGUUUAGCGAUCCGGUGAGUCCACAACGAUGGCGACGCAGAGGCGGGCAACAAACAACCCUGCGGCAACACCAACCAAGGCCCGGAAGAGACCUAAAACCGGCCUUGAAGCAUCACAGCCCUUGCUAGCCUUCAGCUUUUGCUUUGGGCCAAGCAAGUUGAUACCAGCGGCUGAAACGGCAAGGCGGGCGGACGGGCGGCUGCAAUGGGCUAGGUGGAGGCAAACAGCAACUGGACAAUGACGGCGGGGCUUCGAUGGCAACCAGGGACGACUAUUGGAUGGCGAGGCGAUGCGAAUGCUAGUGGUUAGGCACGAUAGAGGCAUGAGCGAGCGAGACGUCAUGCGACAGGUUGGCAGACGUGAGCGGCGGGUGCGGUGGCUUGGGAGGCUAGUCAACGAAAAGGGGAGAGCUACUCUGCUUUCCUCUGGUUUUUGGAGCCCAAAAUGGACAACAAUGGUUAAAGGUGGCCCUAAGCUUGAAGAAGAAGCUGCUGAAGACUUGGAGGGUCCCCCUUGGCCACAAAUAUCCUCUUCUUGAUCAUUGGUUGCCCCCAUCAGCUUUGCCCUAUCCACAGCCAACUUUGCAGCAUCAAAACAUCCCCUAGAAGCUUCCUUUGAUGCCUCAAAUGUUGCACACCCCUUGGCCUAUGGAUUUUGUACACUUUCCAUCCAAAUUGAAUCAAUUCCCCUCUAAUUGAACUCAAUUUGACGUCUAUAAAUCCAACCAAGGUGUCCUUGUCAAAUACAACAUUUUUCCUCACCAACUGAACAAACUUGAAUCUCAAAAACGCGACAAAAAAUGGUCCUCUAAUUUUCCCAGACAAAAAAUGGUCAUACUUUGAAAUUUUGCCAAAAAUCCCGGUUUACCGAAAAGUCAUUAGAGGAUGAGUCGAUGUUUCUAAAAUAACGCGUGACAUGUUAGAACUUUCAAUUUCACAGUUAAUUUUAAUCUAGCGCAAUUUUAGCGUGACCUAAUCUACUGGGUAGCUUUUAGGAAUUUUUAGCGCACUUGACCCAUGGUUGAUUAUUUUCAAGUCACAAUGUACAUUUUCGACACAUUGGCAACUCUCGGUUGUCGUGAUAAUUUCAAGAUUUCAAAUGCCAACAUAGAGUACAAGUUUAACAGAAAUUUUGCAAUUAGGUAGAAUCACCCACGCACUAAUCAUAUAUCUCUGUUGAAUCAACCUUUCUCCAGUCUCUGAUCAAUUUUGAUAGUAUCGUAAUAACCCUUGCAGAUUAGCACGGUCGAGCAGUCGAUUCCUCGUUGAAUUCUCAAGUCUAUUACGUUAAAAUUCCUUAACAGUUUCACCUGAUAAAUUAAUUUUCCCGUGAGUAAUCAAUUCAGGGAAAAGAACUAUAGGCACGUCGAUGAAUAUCCCAACUCAUUUAAUCAAAGACAGAACCUGAAAUUCAGGAUGUCACAUAUUUUGUCGACAUAACAAUCAAUUUUCUAGGUCAAAUUCAGACAACUUUUGGUAUGUCAAGUUGUUGUUUCAAAACAAUUUACGCCAUCAGCCAAAUUCAACAAAAUCGAUAGAUAAGUACUUUACGUGUGCUCAUUCUCCACCGUGAAUUUCUUCCGUCUUUCGUGGUCACUUUUGUAUGUGCUCAUUUUCCGAGUGAGGGAUGCUGGGUGUGGGGAAAUCAAUUAUGCCCUUUCGGAACCAAAAUAAAAUGACGAUUCAUCUCGAUGCACGCCAAUAAGCAACAACAGUUGUAGCACAAGACCGAGCAACUUCUCUAGGAAAAACCACACCUCUGCCUUGAAAGAACCCUUUGAGAUGGCUGAAAAGAGCAAAGUGCUGGUGAUGGAAGGCAUUGGAUACAUUGGAAAGCUCAUUGUGGAGGUGAGUGCUGAGUCCGGUCACCCUACCUUCACUCUUGUGAGGGAGUCCGCUCUCUCCGAUCCUGCUAAGGUUGGCAUCGUAGAAGGUUUCAAGAGCUUGGGUGUCAAUAUAUUCUAGGUGAGUAAUUAUUCACGUGCGGUUGUGUUCCUUCGCCAUUCUGAGAAAUGUUUUUAUCAAUAGGAUCGAAGUUGAUUUUUAUAUUUAUCUCUCACUUGAUGAGUUGAUGGAGUCACAUUACGAUAUGGCGUUGCUCUUUCUCUUCUUUGAUAUUUUGUCUGUGUGCAUGGUUGGAAUCAGAAAUCAUGUCCCUCUUCUUUUUAAAAUGCUUGAUGAGAUCUCAACUUUGGAUGAUGAUAUGAACGUGCACAUUUUCAGAUAAAAUCUUGUGGAAACUUUGGUAUGCUUUGGCUAUUUAUGAGGCAGCUAUAGCUAUGUGGCUGCACUUUGCUGCAUAGACAAAUCUUGUGGAUGAUUGCCAACUUCAUUGAUCGUUUGUCCAUGCUAUUUGUUAUUUGAUUCUCAGGGAGACAUAUACAGUCAAGAGAAUCUGUUGAUUGCAAUUAAGCACGUUGAUGUGGUAAUCUUUGUUGUGGGAUGAGCACAAGUGAAGGACCAAGACAGGAUUGUAGCUGCCAUUACAGCAGCUGGGAAUAUCAAGGUGGUGCCAUGCCUAGUCAUUUCAUUUCAAGUUACUAUUGUUGGUUUAGCAUUUUGUUGACACCUAAAUUUUGACAUCCUCGUCAUCUAUUUAUUGCAUAGAAUAAUUAGGAUUAAUUUUUAACACCUAAAAAAAAUCAAGUUGUGUAGCAUAGAGUUUUAAGAGCAUUGUUAUUAUUGCAUUUGUAUUAGACUGGUAACGAAUGGGGGUUUGAACCAAUAGUUCCGAACUUUAAUUUAACAAAUUGGACUAAGCCCAUGAAGAAAGGGAAUUGGCCGAAGCCCGUUAUUCUCUGAUGACCAAUGUUGACACCUAAUUUUUAUUUUUAUUUUCAAGCACACAAAAAAAAAAAACAAACAAAACCAAAAAAAAAAACAAACAAACAAAAGUUGAUACAAAAAAAAAGAAGAAGGGCCGCGGGGGUCGGGUCGGGCCGAUCCAGCCUCGGCUCGACCUAUCCCUUUUCCUUUUCUUUCCCCCCACGUGGGCCUUGGGCCCAACUCCUCCCUUUUUCCUUUUUCUUUUUCCUUUUUGCACGGCGCGGCCCGUGCUCAUUUGUCUUCUCCUCUAGCCGUUUCUCGCGCGGGGAAGCAGUGAAGGAGAAAGCAAUCGCCAGAGCAAAAGGGAGGGCGUGCAGGGGACAUCAAAUCCACGUGGGGGGCAACGCGAUCCGUAGGCGAGCAAGCCAGCAAAGAGCGGGGUUGGUCAAGCGAAGCCACGCAAGCAAGUUGGGUGGAAAGGAGAAAAGAAAAGGGCAGAACAGGGGGGAGAAAAGGAAAAUCAAAGAAAAAAGGGGAAAAAACAGGGAAACACCGAGUGGAGGAGAGGAGUAAGAGAGACCCCGGAGCCAUUGAUCACUACCAUUGGUCACCGCCAGAGUUGCCAACCGCCUCCGACUCUGCUGGAGUCUAGGAAGCAGAACAGAGGUGCGAAGCAGAGGGCGACAGGAGGGAGAGAGAGGAGAGAGUGGGAAAGCCGUGGGAGAUCAGCCAAGAAGUAGGGAGCCCCCAGGACGCCUCGCCACUACUGGAGAGCCGCCUGUUCGUCGCCGUCCACUACCAUAUUUCGCGGAAUCCAGGUUGGCCUUUUAUCGAACACUUGACGUGCGAUUUUUUAUAUUGAGUUGGCCGGAGCUCGUUUCGCCUGUUUCAAGCGAGCUCCAGCCCCUUUGUCUGUCCCUGUUAUUUUCCUUAAAUGUCGGUAGGUCUCCUUAGGUCUUCAGGUCCGCGCUCAUGCUUCGGCCGAGCUGGAGGCUCUUGGUCUCGUCCAUGCACUCCACCUGCUCGCCAAAAUACCCAAUCGGGAGUUGUUUUUUGUUUCCUUUAGUUGGAGAUCUAGCUCGACCAUUAGGCUGCUGGAAGGGAUGCUAUUGUCUAGCCGGAGGACGAGCAUCGUCCCCUGCCCUAGCCGGCACCGCCGUGCCCAGGCCGGAGAACCGCCCGAGCACGACGACAUCUCCCCCUGGUCGCAACUGGAAGUCGACCGACCAAAGGGAGGUCAACCAAGCGGGCUAGAUCUUGGCCCGCUCAGCCCUUCUCGCCCCGUAGGCCGAUGGCCUAGACUUGGUCUAGGUCGUGGGCCUGCUAGGAGCUCCUUUUGCGAAAGGGGUUGGGCCCAUUCGACGGGCCCAACUUGCACUUAAUUGCAAGCCCGACCAUUGGUCGGGCUUGUUCUUUUCCAAGUGGGCCAACGGCCCUAUGGUCAGGCUUGCUCUUUUCCAAGCGGGCCAACGGCCCGCCCCUCCCCAAUAGGACCGAACCCGAGUCCGGUCUCCAACGGGACUUGAACUGCACCGACCGACCCGAACUAGGGUCGGGUCAGACUGGACCCAACCCGGUUCACCCAAAAAAAAAAUUAAAAUAUUUAAAUAUUUAAAAAAAUUAUUUUAAAAAAAUUAAAAAAUUUAGAAAAAAUUCGAAAAUCAUAAAAAAGUAGGAUUUGGUUAGGAAAUGCCAUAUAUUGCCUUCUUAACCUAACUAGGCCUUUAUUUGCUCAUAUUUUGAUUAUAUCGCAUGUUUAGUUUGCAUAUUUUGUUUAUUAAUUGCACGUACUUAAUUUUAUGGCAAUUCGGAUCUUGGUAGCUAUGGUUGUUAUUUUAAUGAUUGUGCACCUGCAUGAUCACCUCAUAUGUUAGUGGAUAUGUAUAAAAUCAACCCAAACUGCCUGACAACAAAUAUCUUCUUUUAAAAUGAACAAGAUUAGGUACCGAAAGGGCACUAAUUGGUCAAUUAGUGUAAUCAAGUCCCCGACCCUAAAUUCUCUGGUUGUGUAGGAAGUGUGGCACACUCCCAUACCUCACUUGGUUUCUAGCCGACCCCAAUAAACUAGUGGUGAUUCAUUUUUGUGAAAAUCUUUAAAAAUAUCCCAAUGUCAAUCGAUGUAUGGGCUUGGGAGAGCUCGUGCCUAAUCAUGGAACUUAAGUCCGUCCUUUAUGCAAUACCCCUAAACCUGUUCUCUCCCCCCGAGGGGUAGGUCGCGACAACCAAAAAUUGGCUUAUGAUGAAUGGUGAUUUGAUAUUUUCGGUGAUAUGGAGUUGGAUUUUUUGUAUAUUCAUGCAAUCCAUUCAUAUAUCCUUAGUAAGGGUAAACGUGGGAAGGAAAUAUUGUGAUCACAUCUUUGCAAGGUUCAAAAUCUAGGAAAACUCUAUUAUGAUCUUGAAUUUUUGGCAAUGCUUGAUCAAUAAGUGGGCUAGUAUUUGGGUUAAAGAAAUAAAAUUAGUGGAGAAUAUUCAUCUUGCAUGGUCCAAUGUGGAAAGAUACGAUCAUAUGCACAAAGGAAAUUCGGAACAUAAAAGAUUAGCACCAGAAGGGAAUGUCGGGCUCGUUCUUCAUUGAAAGCGCAAGGAUUUGCAAAGAAAAGAUAUAUGCCUACAGAGAAGGCAUUCAAUCAAUGAGGAAGAGGAAAGGAAAUAGAAUAUAUUUUAAAGCAUGAACAGAAGGAAGCAAACUAUGCUUUAUUUCCUUGAUGGUUUACACCCUUUCACUAUAAAUGGACUCAUUACAGGACAGAGAGGGGGGCCACACAAUUGAGAAUACAGAGAGAGAGAGAGAGAGAGAGAGAGAGAGAGAGAGAGAGAGAGAGAGACCUCCUGCCACACCUACUUGAUGAAUGAUCUCGUGUCUUUGUGGGAGAGAAAGAUUGGCAAGACCCUAGAGAAUGUUUAUAUUCCAGAGGAGCAAAUUCUGAAGAAAAUUUGAGGUCACAGAUGCAUUAAUAUUAGAUUUCAGCAUGUGGAAAUUGUCUAUAUUCUCUAUCAUAUUCAAACCUUUUGAUGUCCAUCGAUCUACUUGUCCACUCAUAUUAUAGAUGUGAAAUCUCCAGAUGAUCUGAUGUGGGCCAUAUACCAUUCUAUUUUUGUGAAAGGAGACCAAACUAACUUUCAAAUUGAGCCGUCAUUCGGAGUGGAAGCUUUGGAACUCUACCCCAAUGUCAAAUUCAGUACCAUGGAUAAGUACCUUGAUUAGUUUGUUUGAUUGUCGAAACUUACUGUGCUUGAGGAUUUGAUUUCUCACAUCAGCUUGGAAUCAGAAAUGGUAAUAGAAUUCUGCUUCUUACGAACCUAGUGUGAAACGUCGCUCCCAUUGAUCAUCUCAUGGCAUUGUACAACCUCCAGCUAUUAAGACCUACUAUGGGUGCGUUUGGGACUUACUUUGCAAAUGGGCUUUGGCCACUUAAAGGCCUUUUGGCCAAAUAUUAAGUGUUUGGGAAAGGUUUUACAAACCCCAUUUGGGGAAGGCUGGCUUUCUAAAGGCUGGAAGCCCAAGGCUAGUCUGGGGGUGCCUUGAGCUUUCAAGCUUCAGGAAAGGCUUACGAGACACUAUUCAUCAAAUUUGCGAAACACUAUGCAUCUUCUUCAUUGAGGUGGACAUUCAGGUUGAGCAGGGUCAUGAAUGGCCGAUGACGAAGUAGAGAGAGGCUGGUGACGAUCACAACCACCCAAGUGACGGUCGUCGGUGGGUCGGGUGAUUUGGUCACGCGACUCUUGCUGAGACCCUUGCCUGAGGUCAUUGGGGUCGCGCGACCCCCGGCACAGUGGCCCUCGCCAAAGGUCUCGCUUGGGUCUCGCGACCCCCGGUGAGAUCGUCGCCUAAGGUCGCGCACCAAGCAGCCCUUGGGCCACACAACCUCAAGCAAGGGUCUCGCCGGAGGUCACGAGACCCAAGCAAGACCUUUGGCAAGGGCGGUUGCGCCGGGGGUUGCGGAACCCCAACCGAGACAUUGCCGAGGUCGUCGGCACAGGCGAGCUCGCCAAGGCCGCACGACCUCAAGCAAGGGUCUCGCCUAUGGGUGGCGACCUCGACGAGGGUCUCGGCCGGCAUUGCGCGACCCUUGCCAGGGGUCGCUCGACCGCAGGUGACCCUCACCAAGGCCACGCGAUCUCAGGCGAGGGUCUCGCCUGGGUCACCGGCAAUCGCCCGACCCCAGGCGGCCCUCGCCGAUGGUCUCUGAGGGCCGCCUAAGGUCCGACAACCUCAAACGAUGGCCGCCGUGGCACUUAAAGUCCUUUACAUUUUCCCAAGGAAUUUUCGCAAAAAUCUAAUCAAACACACCCUAUGAAUACUGAGUGUGUGCUCAUCUGUGCUGUGUGCUUGGAGAAGUCACUUAUGUUUUGGAGUUGUUUUGGGUUUAACGACUAGCUAAUGAAUAAAAAAAGGAAAAGGGUUUAUGGUGUCAUGCCAAAAGCCUUUUGGGUAAAACCUAAUUGACUUCUCAACCCUAGAAGACUUAAUUAGACAAAUUGAAAGUACAAGGAAUUAAUUAGAACAGGGGUGAAAAGUAUGAAUCUUCCUUUUUCAUUCACGUAGUAGAGCAUAGUUGAUACUCACUUUUCUGAAAUCAAGUACUUUGUCGGUACUUUGUCGGUCUUGGAAGAUCUCCUCAGAAUCUAAACUCGAGGUUUACAUAGUAGAUUUUUUUUAUAGAAGUCGGUAAGGAUGAUAUUUCUAUCACCAAUUGUUGAAGGGUAAGCUUAAAGAAUAGCAAGUUAAAACCCAUUGAUAAUACCUUGCGGUGUUGGAUUAUCCUUAAUAUUUCGAGGACUGUUAUGGGCAUGGAACAAGCAAGAAGAAAGAGAGGCAUGUGUCACGGUCUGUGAAUCCUCCCAUACUCAUGACACUUGUGAAUGGUGCUUGGGGUUAUCGAGUGAAGAGUGAGGAGGCAGAAGGGACGAACACAACUGGUUCGUGGGAGUGGCGUUAGGACGGUUGGUGCUGGGAGUUCUAGGAUAGAAAGAUUAUAUCACUUAGGAGCUCUGAAGGCAAGGAUAGCCUCCCGUGCACAAAUUGGUGGGGAGCUGAUGCCGCUCUCCUGACGAGGCCAUGGCAGGCCGAAACCAGUUAUUGAAGCUAAAGAGAUCUACUGUCUCACUUGAUGGACUAGAUACUCGAGCGAAGUUGAGCAUGGUAGGAUCUCGCACGAAGAAGCAUUCAUCGUAUAGUUCAUGGAACAGCUAAAGAAGAAAGGCUGGCCUGGUGAAUUCUGUUCGUCAGGCACCGCACGGGUCGUUCCGAGGCCAAGGAAACUCUCGGCCUGUGACAAGUGGUAUCAGAUCAAGAAUCCCUCUAGUAAGUUAGCAAGUCGGAGAAUUGAACUUCUCGCUUUAGUGCAGGUCGAACUGAUAAGUGCCCGGUCCGGUCCUAGUGAAUGAAGAGUGAAUGGAUGGGGCAAAAGAUGCUCAAACGAAGCUGGGCUCUCUAUUCCUAGGAUGGCAUUGGUACUAGGACAAGUCAAUUCCUUGCCAAGCUGAUAGGGAGUUGGAGAAGAACCGAACCCUUACUGAAUAGGGAUAACGUUCCUGGAUCGAUCGAUGAAUUCAAAGAAGAUGUCUACUGCCACGUUUUCAACAAGGAAAGAACCUCCAUUUGGUCUGCUUGGGUCAAAGAAGCUAUGUAGGCAAAAUGGUGCUGCCAAAAGAAAUGCCACACUCUCCAAAGAAAACGCAAGUGACCGAGAAAAGCCAAGUGGUUGAGAUCAAAAAAAGGCUAUCAAUGGAGCAAAACCUAUUUUGUUGGGCGAGCGUGACCAUUCGAUGUGAAAUCCCAAAAAGUGGCACAUCAAUGGUUAAGGGACACAAGGAAGCGACAGAGCAGAUUGCAACGAGGGCGUUGCAAAUUGAAUGGGGGAGAAUGUCACGGUUCGUGAAUCCUCCCGUACUCGUGACAUUUGUGAGUGGUGCUUGGGGUUAUCGAGUGAAGAGUGAGGAGGCAGAAGGGAAGAACACAACUGGUCCGUGGGAGUGGCGUCAGGACGGUUGAUGCUAGGAGUUCUAGGAUAGAAGGAUUAUAUCACUUAGGAGCUCUGAAGGCGGGGUUGGCCUCCCGUGCACAAACUGGUCAGGAGCUAAUGCCGCUCUCCUGACGAGACCAUGGCAGGUCGAAACUAGUUGUUGAACCUAAAGAGAUCUGUUAUCUCACUCGAUAGACUAAACACUUGAGCAAAGCUGGGCGUAAUAGGAUCUCGCACGAAGAAGCAUUCAUUGUAUUGUUCGUGGAACUGUUAAAGAAGAAAGGCUGGCUUGGCGAUUCCAUUCAUUAGGUGCCAAACGAGUCGUUUCGAGGCCAAGGAAACUCUUGGCCCAUGAUAAGUGGUAUCAGAGCAAGAAUCCCUCCAGUAAGUGAGCAAGUCGGAGAAUCGAACUUCUCGCUUUAGUGCGGGUCGAACUGAUAAGUGCCCGGUCCGAUCCUAGUGAACGGAGAGUGAAUGGCCGAGGCAAAAGAUACUCAAACGAAGCUGAGCUCUCUGUUCCUAGGAUGGCAUUGGUACUGGGACAAGUCGGUUCCUUGCCGAGCUGAUAGGGAGUUGGAGAAGAACUGAACCCUUACUGAAUAGGGAUAACGUUCCUAGAUCGAUUGGUGAAUUCGAAGAAGAGGUCUACUGCCACGUUUUUAACAAGGAAAGAACCUCUAUUUGGUCUACUGGGGUCAAAGAAGUUGUGUAGGCAAAAUGGUGCUGCCAAAAAGAUGCAAUUAACGAACAAUGUCAAACUUGCCAAAGAAAGCGCAGGUGACCGAGAAGAGCCGAGCGGCUAAAAUCAAAAAGAUGCUACCGAUGGAGCAAAACCUGUUUUGUUGAGCGAGCGUGACCAUUCGAUGUAAAAUCUCAAAACGUGGCACAUCAAUGGUUAAGGGACGCAAGGAAGCGACAGAGCAGAUCGCAACGAGGGCGUUGCGAAUUGAGUGGGGGAGAAUGUUACGGUCCGUGAAUCCUCCCGUACUCAUGACACUUGUGAGUGGUGCUUAGGGUUAUCGAGUGAAGAGUGAGGAGGCAGAAGAACGAACACAACUGGUUCGUGGGAGUGGCGUCAGGACGAUUGGUGCUAGGAGUUCUAGGAUAGAAUGAUUAUAUCACUUAGGAGCUCUGAAGGUGGGGUUGGCCUCUCAUGCACAAACUGGUCAGGAGCUGAUGCCACUCUCCUGAGGAGGCCAUGGCAGACCGAAACCAGUUGUUGAAUCUAAAGAGAUCUGCUGUCUCACUUAAUGGACUAGAUGCCCGAGCAAAGCUGAGCGUGGUAGGAUCUCACACGAAGAAGCAUUCACUGUAUUGUUCAUGGAACAGCUAAAGAAGAAAGGUCGGCCUAGCGAAUUUCGUUCAUCAGGCGUCGCACGGGUCGUUCCGAGGCCAAGGAAACUCUCAGCCCGUGACACAUGCAUGAUGAAUCUGGACACCUCACAAACCAAUUUCUUCACUAAUCAUGGUGGGCGCAGACUCGUGUCCUUUCCUAAUUAAGAAAGUCCAAUAAGGCGAUGUCUACGUAAUACUGUGUUUACUUUACAAAUUACGUAAAUUGCAAUUUCACAUUUCAUAUGAAUGAUCUAAGUAUAAAAUCUUUUCCAUUUAAUGAUAAAGAAACUAUCUUACUACGUGCUUAAUAUGUGUGUAUUGAACUCACUCUUUAGAACCGGAAUCAAUCUAAAAGUCUCGGUUUCCUUUUCUUAAGAACUUGUGAAUUUGAAAAUAUAGAAAUCUUAUGUUGCCCAAAAAAUCAAAAAGAGUAAUCUCUUGAUCAACCCCACUUUGGAAAGAAUCUAGUGCACCUCAAAACAAUCAUUUACCGAUAUGAAACGUUGUGAUAGCAUGCAUACCAUGCAAGCACAUGCACGUUGGAUAGCUCAUUGCCCUUUCAUAUUGUUUUCACUAGUCUUUUCAUAUGAUACAAAAAAAUAGUCUCAACUUUUAUUUACAUGAAAAAUCAUUAUAAGUUAUAAUAGUCUAAUAUUGAUUGAGAAACAAAAUCAUCAUACAAAAUAAAUUAGAAACUCUAAUCCUUCAAAAUUAAGAUUACUUAAAUCUUUAGCACCAUCCAAACUUAAGUGUAGAUUUUCUUAUUUUUAGUAAGUUUUUCACAAUAAUUUGAAUCAUCUCUCAAACUCGACAAAAUCUUUAUUGAAGUGCUUUAUAUUAGAUUUUAUUCUGUUUCUAUUAGUCCCCUUCGCACGUACAUCUUUUCCAGCUAAUGAUGAUAUCAAGAAGUUCACACAAACGACAUCUAUGCCUUUCUGAAAUAAAAAACAGAUGAACGAUUCAUCUCGGAUCCCGCCAACAUUUACGGCCCUAGACCGAGCAAGUUCGCAGGGAAAACCACACUGCUGGCAGAAAGAACGGGAAAAGUGUUAAAAAAAAAAGUCAAACAUUUUGCAUUUAUGCCAAUUUAAUUUUAAACAUUUUUUUGAUGCCAAUUAAAUCUUAAAUAUUUUUACGUUGUGCAAAUUUAGUAUUUUCCGGCCAAUUUCAGCCAGAUUUUACUAACUGAACAACGGCCGACUGACAUGAACAACUUUUAAUAAUAUUUUAAUAUUCUUUCUUUUCUUUUUUUCUUUUUUCCUUUUCCUCCUUCUUUUCUAGCCGGUCGCUGGCUCGAUGACCAGCUAGAGGCGACGGCCGACGAGGUCAACCUCGACCUCGCCGGCCACCUCGCUAGUGGCCGCAAGGGCGGCCUCAUGCUGAGCAGUGAGGCUCGCCCUUGCCAAAUCCGACAAGGGUCGAGCCCCACCCGCCCAGCGCAAGGCUGCCCUCGAGGCCUGGGCGACGAGCCUCACCUUCGUCAGAUCUGGCAAGGCUCACCCUCGUCGGAUCUAGCGAGGGUCGAGCCUCGCCCAUGGCUAGCAAGGACGAGCCCCGCCAACUCGACGCGAGGCUAGCUCGAGGCCACCCAGGCCAUGAGGGCGAGCCCUCACCGCCCAAGCCUUGAGAGUGGCCUCGCACUGGACAGGCGAGGCUCGCCCUCGCUGGAUCUGGCGAGGUCAAGUCUCGCUAGCCAUUGGCGAGGCUCAACCCUUGCUAGCGCAAGGCUUCCCUCGCGGCCGCCGGUGAGGUCGACCUCAACCUCGCCGGCCAUCGCCUCUGGCUGAUCGUCGAGGUCCGGCAACCGACUAAAGGACGAAGGAGGAGAAGGAAAAAUUAAAAAUUAAAAUAUUAUUAAAAUAUUAUUAAAAAUUGUCAACGUCAACGUUGAUUAGGCCACAUCAGCCGGCCGGCGUCUAAUCAGCAAAAUCUAGCCAAAAUUUACCGGAAAUGACUAAAUUGGUACAACGUAAAAAUGUUUAUGACUUAAUUGGCACCAAAAAAAAGUUUAGGACUUUUUUAACAUUUUUUUCCGAAAAGAAACUUAGGUGGCCACGAAGAACAAAGUCAUGAUGAUCGGAGGCAUUGCAUGCCUCGAAAGUACAUAGUUGAAGCGAGUGCUAAGUCCGGUCGCCUUACCUUUGCUCUCGUGAGGGAGCCUGGUCUCUCCGAUCCCACCAAGGUCAACAUCGCCCAAGGUUUCAAGAGCUUAGGCGUCAAAUUUUUCAUGUGUGUAUCGUGUUGUGAGGAGUCACUACGGUGCAAUUAUGUUCGUUUCCGACAUCAACUUGAACCAUAAGUUAUAUAGGAUUCUGAUUCUCCGCAUCCCGCUAAUCAUCUCAUGGCACGUGCAACUUUCAAUACGAGGACAUAGUAGGAACAUUUGAUGUGCGAGGCUUCUUUGCAACGCUUGGAGGAGUUACUUCUAUUUUGAAUUUGAUAUGAGUUUUUCUAUUUCUGUAUAGUAUACGUUUUAUGUCGUCGGUGUGGGUAUUGAAUUCGAGCCGCUGAUGAUGUACGAUAAUUCACCUAAUUUCCUGGUCUUAGACUAAAAUAUAAUUUUAUUUUAAGAGUCAUUUGUUUCGCAAAAAAUAAAUAAUUUGGAAGAAAAAAUAUCUCAAAAAUGAUUAUUUGUAUCGCUUAUAAAAUGAACGGACAAAAAAUAUUUCCAUCGUCUAUAAAAAUAUUUAGACAUAUUUUGUUGUUGAUAAUAACAACAUUUUUCAUCGACUAAUCAUUUAAAAUAUGCAAGUAAUCAUUUUUUAGAAAAAUGUUUUUUAAAUUAUUUAUUUUUUACGAAACAAAUACUUUAUAUAUCUAAAUACUUUAUUCAUUUUUCAUGUCUAAAUAGUCUGUAGGUAGUCAUUAUGGUGAAAUCAAAUACUUUAUAAAUCCUCGAAAAUCUGAAGGUAAUUGAAGCUCCGGGUUUCCUUAGCUGACGAAAUCUCCUUUCAUGAAUGAUAAACUUAAAAGAAUAACAAGUUUAAGGAUUCUUACUGCGGGGAACAAACAAGGCAAAGAAAAAAAGGCAAAUAUUCGAUUGAAUAUGGUACCAUAACAAUUAUCUACGUGAGGUCAAGUAAUAAUCUUGUUGAUCCAUUGAUGAAGGCUUUAUCAAGACAUAUGGUAAUAAUGACCUCACAAGAAAUAGGGCUGAAACCCUUUAAUUGAAAUCAUCAAUAAUGGUAAUCCGACAUUUUUUCUAAAACAUCACUAGUUACAAGGUUUAAUGGGUAAGAACAAGUUAUUAAAUGUGAUUAUUUGAUACUGACGUAACCCUAAAAAGUCAGUAUCGUCUAUUACGUUUUGUAGGUUAAAUUGAAUUCUUAAUGAAGUAUAAUACAAAUUUAUAAUGUGUUAAUAGUAAUAGAAACACAUGAUAGAUACUUCACCUAUAUGAGCUUAGAAGUGAUGCCGCUUCUUACGAAAGUGAGGGUUGCUUUCUAGAGAGCUCAUGAAACAGGAUCAAGCACAAGGCUAUAAUAGUGCAGAGUAAUAUAGAACUUCUUGCUAAAACAAGAGGUUAGUGUAUGUACAGUAUGUCCGAUUCUAUUACAUAAAAGUACAAAUUUAAAGCCGAGCUAUUUGUCACUUUGAUAGAGCUUUGAUAUACUUGCACUAAGUAAAAGUUUAAUUCGAAAGAGACCUUUAUAUAUGUAUAUUAUUCUUACUGAAAUUUUGGUUGUACGGUUUUAAAAUUUUAAUUUUGAAAUCUUUGUUUUACAAACAAAAUGGGGGAUUGUUGGAGGUUUGUUUGUAAAAAUAAACUAAGUGCAUUUUCCUUGUCUCACCUAGGAAAAGUGGGAAGAAGUGGGCCAAUUAAUAAGUGUGGGGUUUCCUUUGUGUACCUAAAGGAAUGAUUAGGUGGGGCUAGACCCCACCAUAUCCGUGUGCGAGUGCGCAAUUUAUUUGGCGCACUUUGCGCGCCCGCGGUUUAAUUAACACUAACCCCUUUGUUAUUUUAUUUUUUCUUUCAUACGGUUAUCUUAUUAACUUUAAUCAAUUCAAAUGUUGCUUUUUAGUUUUGAGAAUUUUCGAAAAUUAUUAAAAAAUAAAAAUUCGAAAUUGUAUUUAUUUUAAAAAAAUUAUUAUUUCGAAUUUUUAUUUGUGUCUUUUCAAGAUAACCUUUGAAAAAGAUAUUUGUUCAAUUUGCAACUUUUCCCGAAGGGUUGCAAUUGUUCAUUUUUUAACUUCUUCCAAAUGGACACCUUUGUUUAUCUAGACAAUUUUUGAAAUGCCUUGUUUGUUCAUUUUUUUUGCAAUUUUUCACGAAGAGUUGCAUGUGUUUUAAGAGUGUUUUAUAUAUAUAUACAUGUCAGUUUUCGGAAAAAUGAAAGUGAUCAUUGUUUAUCUUUUCGAGCAUUCUUUCUGAAAACUACAGCCAUCAUUUUAAUUAUUUCCUGGAGAGGCCAUGGAGAAAUACUAGAAUUGUUAUCUAAUAUUCUUAUUUUGAGACUUUGUUGUAUCUUGAAUGAUAUUUGCCGGUAACUAUUAGCAAUGUUAUGGGGCAAAUAACUCCUUAAAGAAAAUGAUAUUACAUCUCAAAGUCCGACUUGAGUAUUCUAAAGAUCCAUCUUCAUUGUUUUACCCAAUUCGAAGCCAUAUUUUCCCAACAUGAACAACUCUCGAACCAGACUUGCAGAUGCUGGUCUGACUCGAUGAAUCCUUCCGUAAUUUGCUUACUGCCUACCAUCCGCGUGGACUCUUGUGUCCUUUUCUUUUCAAGAAAUCUACGGUGUGGUGGCUUUUAGUGUGGAUAUCUUCCUUUUUGUGAAUGAUUUUUCGUAAAUUCAUCCAUUUACGGUAGCUAAGCAUGUGAAAUUAUGAAAAGCAAAUUUCAGGAAACCCUUUUUAGCAAAACAAGCACUCAAAGGUCACCAAAAAAAAAAAAACAAGCACUCAAAUGAUAUGCAUUUUCAAUUUCGAAUUGGUGAUCUAAACAUUGAAUCUUUUGCAUUUAAUGAUAAAGAGUAUCAUUUAUAUAUGUCUAAUUUACUAGCAUCAUGCUCCCUAUUCAAUCAAUGAGCCAAUCUAACAAGGUUAGUCUCCUUCAAGAAGUUAUGAAUUGUUUACAAGAUAAUGUUUUGUUGGCCAAAAAGUUAAAAAAUUAAUUAAUAUGGUUGAACCUAGAGGAAAAAAGAAAUGGCACCUCAAAACAAUCAUAGAGCGACUAUGAAGCUCCGUGAUAUCAUGUAUAUAUGUGCAUCUGCAUGUCCAAUAGCUCAUUGUCCUCUCAUACCAUUUUAUCUUAUUAUUUCAUAUGAUAAAGUAAACCUAAAAAAUGGUUUCAACUUCCUUUUUAUCAAUGACAUAAAAAAUCAUGGUAAAUUAUAAUAGUACAAUAUCAAUUGAGAAAACAAAAUAUAGUUUCAAUUAAACAGUAUUUCUAACACUUCAAAAUUAGGAUUACUUAAAUUUCUAACACCAUCCAAACUUAAAUUUGGAAUUUCUUAAUCUAGGCAAGUUAAGUUUUUCUCAUUUCACAAAAAAAUGAAUCAUCUCUCAAAUUAGACAACAUCAUUAUUAGAAUACUUUAUAUUUUAUUUUCCUCCAUUUCUUUUUUCAGGACUAAUACCAUAAAAAUAAAAAAUAAAAAUAAAAACUCAAACUAGUACGUCCAUAUUAUAUUUACCAAAAAUUAAUUUUUAUAUCACAAAAAAAUUUAUAUUGUUUUAUUCAUGUCACAUUUGUCCAAAAUUUGCAGUAAUUUUUUACAUUGAAAAUUAGUUCGGGAUGACAUUUGUAUUCAGCCGGAGAAUAUUUUAGGUAAAAAAGUUAAUUUAGGAUAAAUGUGACGGAGAAUUAAUUUCAUGCACUUUUUUCUGGUGAAGGAUCAGAUUGAGAAGUCAAUACGCUGGAAGGACAAUUCAUUGAAAAGACAAUUACGCCCUUCUGGAACCAAAAGAUAAUUUUAAAUUGGCUCCGUGUAGAAGAGCCCCCGGCAUUUUUGCGCGCUCUCUCCCUUUCUCGCAGACACAGUUGGAGCACUACGGAGACCGACCGAGCUCGCCGGAGAAAAUCCACCGACUCCGCCGUGAAAAACCCCUCCGAGAUGGCGGAGAAGAGCAAAGUCCUGGUGAUCGGAGUCACCGGACUCAUCGGAAAGUUCGUCGUGGAAGCGAGUGCUAAGUCCGGCCACCCUACCUUCGCUUUCGUGGAACCGCUGUCCACUCCGUCCGACGCUGCCAAGACCAACUUCGUCCAAGGUUUCAGGAGAUUAGGCGUCUACGUAGUUCUGGUGAGUAGCUAGCUAUGCCCGUGCGAUCGCGUUCGUUUCCGACAUCGGGUUCCGCUUCGAGGAACCGAAAGCGUCACCUGCCGUUGAAUCUUGUUCGUCGUUCCGAGAAACGUCUUCGGCAGUAGAAUCGGAGCUGACUUUCGUCUCCAUCUCUCACUCGAUCGAGCUGAUUGGAAUCACGUUGCGAUUCGGCGUUGUUCAUUGUCUUUUCUGAUAUUUUGUCCUCGUAUGUUGGCGAAAUAGGCGAAAUUUUUUAUGACGUCCUUCUCACUUUCUCACUGCCUGACGAUUCAUCUCAGCUUCGCGUGUUGAUUCGAACGCGCGCAUUUUCAGACAAAUCUUACAGAAACUUCCUUAUGCCUUCGCUGUUUAUGAGACAGCUACAGCUACGUAGUAACUGCACUGACCUGUUGUUCAGAUGCCACGGAGGAGAAGUCUGUGGAUAGUAGCAUUUUUUUUUUUUAUCAUAUUUUUCUUUAUUGCCUGAUAAAGGUAUUGAAGUCUUAUCUUACAUCGGUUAUGAAUCCCAUCGCCAAAACAGGAGUUGUUGAUUGCUGACUUCAUCAAUUGUUUAUUCAUGCUCUUGGUCAUUUGAUUCUCAGGGAGACAUAAACGUUCCACAUACUCUGGUGAAUGUGAUGAGGCAGGUUGAUGUGGUAAUCUCUACUGUUGAGACAUCACCGGAUGACCAAUACAAGAUUGCUGCUGCCAUUUUGACGGCCGGAAAUAUAAAGGUGGUGCUGUGACUAAUCAUUUUGUCCUCGUUAUCAUUGUUCGUUUAGCAUUCGACUGAUGAUAUAAGUUGUGUUAGCUUACUUCUUUUCUUCUGGUAUUAGUGCAUAGCGUUCUCCUUGUGAGCUUCAUUUGAUCAAAUGGGAUGCAUUGACUCAUUUAUCUGUAGACUUCACAUCUUUUUUCAUCUUAAUUGGUCAUGACUCUGUGUAGAAGUCCCUGUGGGUUUGGGUUUCCUCUAGGUCAGCCAAAAAAACAAAAAUAAAUAACAUAAAAGGUCUCAGUCACUCAAUAUGGACUAUGGACUUGUAUCCCAGCGCUUCGAUCAUGAAUUCGCGAGGAACAUGAACUAGUUUAACCUUGAAAUGGUCCUUUUCAGGGUAUAAUUGUUGCAUGUAUGUUAUCCAACCCCACUUACUGGGAUAGUACUUAGUAGUAAUCGUUGUUGCUGCGGGUGGUUGACAGCCAACAAUGAGUGGAACUCAGCAUGCUCCGAAAAGGCAAUGGACUUGCCUGAUAUUUUAUCACUGUGAAAGUGUCCAUUCAAGCAAGCAGCAUGUUUGCAUAUUUUAUACUUGACAGAGUUAUCUGGCUGCUGCCUAACAUUAAAAUAUUCACUUUCCAUUUCUUCUACUUUUCUAAUAACACUUAUGGUAGAAUUUGCUUAUUUGCUGAAUUUAUUGCUUCACUUAUGAUCAGUUUUUACUCUGUUAUAGUAACAUACUGACCAAAAAAAAAAAUGUUAAAUUCAGUCACGUACAAGUUUGUUCUGUUUUAUUUUGCCAGAACUCAUAUAAUUUUAUUGGAUAAGGGGAAUGUGCUCCAAAUUUUCGUUCCUUUCCAAUGGAAAUGUUUCUUCUGAUUGGAUUAUUUUUCUUUCUAGAGAUUCUUGCCUUCAGUGUUUGGAAGUGAUGUGGAUCGUGCCCAUGCUGUGGAGCCAGCAAGAACUUUUUAUGCUGCUUACUAUACCGACAUCCACCGCCUUCUCGAGGAAGAGGGAAUCCCGUAUACCUAUGUGUGUUGUAACUUUCUUGUAGGUUGGCACCGUUCAACAUUGGUGCAGCCCAGGGCUAGAGCUGCCUCUAGAGAGAGAAUUGUCAUCUUAGGGGAUGGUAAUGCGAAAGGUAAGAAGCAUGAAAUACCUAUUAUGAUUCGUCAGGAUUUUUCUGUACAACUUUUGCGAUUUAAUUACGAGGGUAAUCAGAGUGAGGACAAUUCCUGAAGCUUGAGAAUGCCAGGCAACUCCUCUAGCUGGAGAUGUCGGGCCUUUUACAUCCGUUAUUCUCGACUUCCGGAGACCAAUAAAUGAUAUGAAAGUGAUGUUGGUUAUCUUGGCACAAUACCGCCUGGUCAGCAUAUUAAGAAGGUUUUCUUAUGUAUCUAGUUGAGAAAAGAACUUAUGAAUGCAUUCGUCCAUGAUGAAUCUUUUUAUUGAGAGAGUUCUUUAAAUAAGAACCAAAAGAUCAAAGUUUUUGUGAUAUAUUUAUUAGCCAAAUUCUAAAAUUCUCCUGUCAAUGUACAGUGGUGUUUAACAGGGAGGAUGAUAUCGGCACCUAUACCAUCAAAGCCAUGGAUGAUCCUAGGACCUUGAACAAAAUUCUGUACAUCAG
RNAcentral lists this long non-coding RNA (25760 nucleotides) under Eucalyptus grandis. Its description in RNAcentral is "long non-coding RNA (EGRA_LNC002538)". Lineage: Eukaryota; Viridiplantae; Streptophyta; Magnoliopsida; Myrtales; Myrtaceae. The record is from RNAcentral.